UCAGGCCUAACACAUGCAAGUCGAACGAGGGUAGCAAUACUCUAGUGGCGGACGGGUGAGGAAUACGUAGGAAUCUGCCCUUAAGUGGGGGAUAACCCGGGGAAACCCGGAUUAAUACCGCAUGAUCUCGAAAGAGCAAAGCAGGGGACCGCAAGGCCUUGCGCUUUUGGAGGAGCCUACGUCGGAUUAGCUAGUUGGUGAGGUAACGGCUCACCAAGGCGACGAUCCGUAACUGGUCUGAGAGGAUGAUCAGUCACACCGGAACUGAGACACGGUCCGGACUCCUACGGGAGGCAGCAGUGGGGAAUAUUGGACAAUGGGCGAAAGCCUGAUCCAGCAAGGCCGCGUGUGUGAAGAAGGCCUUCGGGUGUAAAUUAAUGGAAGUUGGGAAGAAAAAGCUUCACCUAAUACGGGAGCCUGAC
RNAcentral lists this ribosomal RNA (422 nucleotides) under uncultured bacterium. Its description in RNAcentral is "bacterial SSU rRNA". It matches the Rfam family "Bacterial small subunit ribosomal RNA", at positions 43 to 473 of the family's 1533-position model. The record is from RNAcentral.